GGCGCCAUGGCCGAGCAGUCAGGCAGCAGUCUGCAAAACUGCGUACACCGGUGCGAGUCCGGUUGGCGCCUCCA
This 74-nucleotide transfer RNA is filed under the name Candidatus Peregrinibacteria bacterium CG1_02_41_10. Its description in RNAcentral is "tRNA-Cys". It matches the Rfam family "tRNA". Rfam says of the family: Transfer RNA (tRNA) molecules are approximately 80 nucleotides in length. Their secondary structure includes four short double-helical elements and three loops (D, anti-codon, and T loops). Lineage: Bacteria; Candidatus Peregrinibacteriota. RNAcentral also lists the same sequence under 1 other name. The record is from RNAcentral.